RNAcentral lists this ribosomal RNA (1778 nucleotides) under Coprinus comatus. Its description in RNAcentral is "SSU rRNA". It matches the Rfam family "Bacterial small subunit ribosomal RNA". Lineage: Eukaryota; Fungi; Basidiomycota; Agaricomycetes; Agaricales; Agaricaceae. The record is from RNAcentral.
AUCAGUAUGAAUUUAAUUUUGGUUCUGAUUGAACGUUAUUCAGUAGUUUUAAGACAUGCGAAUCGAUGUUCAAGUUAACUAAUUCUUAUAGAAAUCAGGUAAGUUAAACUACAACAAUUUAUUAUAAGGUAAUUAGAAACAGAAUAUGGUGUAAAGGUGAGUAAUGAUAAAUUAGAUACUUUAUAGACCUCUCAAAUAGGGGAUAGUUUAAUUAAAUUAUACUUAAUUAAGCAUAAAUUUAGCUUAUUUAUAAAUAAAGACUGUUAACUUGUCCAUUAAAAUCUUAAUUUAUACAGGUUUUAGCUGAAAAGGUUUCUAUAGUCGCUAUAAGAAUCGAUUUAUUUUGUUUAAUGGUAGUUGGUGGGGUAAAAGCCUACCAAGCCUACGAUCAAUAGCCAAGUUUGAUAGAACAUAUGGCCACAUUGGGAAUGAGAUGCCCCAAAUUGCAUACGCAAUCAGCAGUCAAGAAUAUUAGUCAAUGCUCGCAAGAGUGAACUAGCUAACUGAAAUCUUAAGAUCUUUAAGAAUGGUACUUGAGAUAACGUAAGGGAAAAAAAUGAUAGUACCUUACUAUAAGUGUUGUCCAAUUAACUGGUGCCAGAAGACUCGGUAACGCCAGAAACGCAAACGUUAGUCGUCCUAAUCAGGCGUAAAGGGUAAGUAGGCUGCUUUAAAAGUUAUUAUAUAAAAAGCUCUUUAAUUAACAAAAGUAUAGUAAUAAUGAAUUAAAGCUAGAAUCAAAUAGAGGAUAAGCCAAAUAAUAUUUAGAGUAGGGGUGAAAUCCUUAGAUACUAAAUGGAAUACUAAAGGUGAAAACAUUUAUCUAAAAUUGAUUGACGCUGAGGAACGAAGGUGAGAAUAGAAAAUAGGAUUUGAGACCCAGAUAUCUCUCACUGUCAACGAUGAAUGGUGGUUGUUAGUUUUAAAAAAAACUAGUAACGAUGUUAACGCGAUAACCAUUCCGCCUUGCGAGUACGGUUGCAAAACUGAAACCAAAAAAAUUAGUCGGUCUCGAAGCAAACGGAGUGAAGCAUGUUAUUUAAUACGUAAUUACGCGUAAAAUCUUACCAGUUCUUGCAUAGGCGGAUUACUUAUGUCCAUUUUUAAGUUUAGUCAAGAUUUAGAAAUAUGGAUACGGUGAAAAGUAACAGGUGUUGCAUGGCUGUCGUAAGUCCGUAUUUUAAGAAGUGAGGUUAACUCCACUAACGGACGAAAUCCCUGUUGUUAAUUUAUACUUAACUAUUUAUGAAUUUUAAAUAUUUUCAUUGGGGGCUAAGACAAGUCCUUAUGGCCCUUAUGAACUGGGCUAUAGACGUGCCACAAAGGACUUUUACAAAGUGAUGCGAAACCUUAAUUAAGUAAUUAAACUAAAUUAUAAAAAAGGAAGAGCUAAUCAUUAAAGAAAGUUAAUUAUAUUAUAUUUGAACAGAUUGUAGCCUGGAAUUCGGCAACAUGAAGAAGGAAUUUCGAGUAAUCGUUGAUCACUAGCGCAACGGUGAAGAUAGCAUUCGGGAUGAACUAACUGUCUGUCGCUGGGAAGGAGCUCGGAUCGGGGGAAACUGCCGCUUAAUUAUCACUUACAACAAAAUAAGUUUAAUUAACUAUAUCUGCUUAUUUUUUAAAAAGUAAAUUAGAUUUAGUUAAUGACUGUAGCACUAUAUAUUUAUUUAUAGUACAAAUUUGUUAAGCUAAUUAGUUUCAGUUAACCCUUCUGAGUAACAUCUCAAAAGUCAUAGCAAGGUAGCCGUACUGGAAGGUGCUGCUGGAAAUUAUUUCAA